RNAcentral lists this ribosomal RNA (459 nucleotides) under uncultured bacterium. RNAcentral describes it as "partial 16S ribosomal RNA". It matches the Rfam family "Bacterial small subunit ribosomal RNA", at positions 338 to 795 of the family's 1533-position model. The record is from RNAcentral.
CCUACGGGGGGCAGCAGUGAGGAAUAUUGGUCAAUGGCCGAGAGGCUGAACCAGCCAAGUCGCGUGAGGGAUGACGGCCCUACGGGUUGUAAACCUCUUUUGUCGGGGAGCAAAGAGAGUCACGUGUGGCUCAUUGAGAGUACCCGAAGAAAAAGCAUCGGCUAACUCCGUGCCAGCAGCCGCGGUAAUACGUAGGGAGCGAGCGUUAUCCGGAAUUAUUGGGCGUAAAGGGUGCGUAGAUGGCAUAGUAAGUCUUUUGUAAAAAUGCUGGGCUCAACCCAGUAGGGCAAAAGAUACUGCAAAGCUAGAGUAUGACAGAGGCAAGUGGAACUACAUGUGUAGCGGUAAAAUGCGUAAAUAUAUGUAAGAACACCAGUGGCGAAGGCGGCUUGCUGGGUCGAUACUGACAUUGAGGCACGAAAGCGUGGGGAGCAAACAGGAUUAGAUACCCUGGUAGUC